This 620-nucleotide ribosomal RNA is filed under the name Opecoelidae sp. 1 DISC-2009. RNAcentral's name for it is "bacterial SSU rRNA". It matches the Rfam family "Eukaryotic small subunit ribosomal RNA", at positions 122 to 728 of the family's 1831-position model. The record is from RNAcentral. Lineage: Eukaryota; Metazoa; Platyhelminthes; Trematoda; Plagiorchiida; Opecoelidae.
UGGUCUAUUUACUACAUGGAAAUGUAGUAUUCUAGAGCUAAACACGCAACUAUGCCCCGACCGCGAGGGAACGGGUGCAUUUAUUAGAACAGAACCAACCGGUUGUGGUUUCGGCCGCUUCCGUUUUCUAUGUGAUGACUCUGGAUAACUCUACCGAUCGCAGUCGGCCUUGUGUCGGCGACGGAUCUUUCAAAUGUCUGUCUUAUCAAUUUUCGAUGGUAGGUGACCUGCCUACCAUGGUGAUAACGGGUAACGGGGAAUCAGGGUUCGAUUCCGGAGAAGGAGCCUGAGAGACGGCUACUACUUCCAAGGAAGGCAGCAGGCGCGUAACUUACCCACUCCCGGAACGGGGAGGUAGUGACGAUAAAUACGGAUACGGGACUCAAAAGAGGCUCCGUAAUUCGAAUGAGUACAAUUUAAAUCCUUUAACGAGGAUCAACUGGAGGGCAAGUCUGGUGCCAGCAGCCGCGGUAACUCCAGCUCCAGUGGCAUAUAUUAAAGUUGUUGCAGUUAAAAAGCUCGUAGUUGGAUCUGGGCUGGGCGGCUGUGCGCCGUGCUCGCAUUUCCGGUCUGGUCAUUCUAGGUCGGGAUAGUGAGUCGGUGCCGCGGUCGUUCGGUCU